This 75-nucleotide transfer RNA is filed under the name Oscillospiraceae bacterium. RNAcentral describes it as "tRNA-Gln". It matches the Rfam family "tRNA". From Rfam's summary of the family: Transfer RNA (tRNA) molecules are approximately 80 nucleotides in length. Their secondary structure includes four short double-helical elements and three loops (D, anti-codon, and T loops). The record is from RNAcentral. Lineage: Bacteria; Bacillati; Bacillota; Clostridia; Eubacteriales; Oscillospiraceae.
UGGGCCGUAGCCAAGUGGCAAGGCAACGGACUUUGACUCCGUCAUCCGAUGGUUCGAAUCCAUCCGGCCCAGCCA